RNAcentral lists this ribosomal RNA (475 nucleotides) under uncultured organism. RNAcentral describes it as "partial 16S ribosomal RNA". It matches the Rfam family "Bacterial small subunit ribosomal RNA", at positions 333 to 799 of the family's 1533-position model. The record is from RNAcentral.
ACACUCCUGCGGGAGGCAGCAGUGGGGAAUAUUGCACAAUGGGCGCAAGCCUGAUGCAGCCAUGCCGCGUGUAUGAAGAAGGCCUUCGGGUUGUAAAGUACUUUCAGCGGGGAGGAAGGCGAUAAGGUUAAUAACCUUGUUGAUUGACGUUACCCGCAGAAGAAGCACCGGCUAACUCCGUGCCAGCAGCCGCGGUAAUACGGAGGGUGCAAGCGUUAAUCGGAAUUACUGGGCGUAAAGCGCACGCAGGCGGUCUGUCAAGUCGGAUGUGAAAUCCCCGGGCUCAACCUGGGAACUGCAUUCGAAACUGGCAGGCUAGAGUCUUGUAGAGGGGGGUAGAAUUCCAGGUGUAGCGGUGAAAUGCGUAGAGAUCUGGAGGAAUACCGGUGGCGAAGGCGGCCCCCUGGACAAAGACUGACGCUCAGGUGCGAAAGCGUGGGGAGCAAACAGGAUUAGAAACCCUUGUAGUCCCAUG